This 440-nucleotide ribosomal RNA is filed under the name uncultured bacterium. RNAcentral describes it as "partial 16S ribosomal RNA". It matches the Rfam family "Bacterial small subunit ribosomal RNA", at positions 338 to 795 of the family's 1533-position model. The record is from RNAcentral.
CCUACGGGGGGCAGCAGUGGGGAAUAUUGCACAAUGGGGGAAACCCUGAUGCAGCGACGCCGCGUGAGUGAAGAAGUAUUUCGGUAUGUAAAGCUCUAUCAGCAGGGAAGAAGAAAGACGGUACCUGACUAAGAAGCCCCGGCUAACUACGUGCCAGCAGCCGCGGUAAUACGGAGGAUGCGAGCGUUAUCCGGAUUUAUUGGGUUUAAAGGGUGCGCAGGCGGCGUGUCAAGUCAGCGGUAAAAUGUCGGGGCUCAACCCCGGCCGGCCGUUGAAACUGGCGUGCUCGAGUUGCAGAGAAGUAUGCGGAAUUCGUGGUGUAGCGGUGAAAUGCAUAGAUAUCACGAAGAACCCCGAUUGCGAAGGCAGCAUACCGGCUCCACACUGACGCUGAGGCACGAAAGCGUGGGUAUCGAACAGGAUUAGAUACCCCGGUAGUC